This is a non-coding RNA of Microcebus murinus (gray mouse lemur), 879 nucleotides long. Lineage: Eukaryota; Metazoa; Chordata; Mammalia; Primates; Cheirogaleidae. The record is from RefSeq and is a predicted model, not a curated record.
GGGUGAAGUGCCAGAGGCUGGGCCAAAGCUGAUAAUGUUACAAAGGAGCCAGAACAGGUGGCAGGGCCCAGAACAACUCAGGAGAGGAAGGAGCAUGGCUGAGGACUGAGAAGCCCCCUCCUCACCGAUGCCACCACCUUUAGCUGUUGCUGGACAUGAGGCUGAUGAUCUGCUCCAGCUUCUGGCGCAACUUAUGCUUCCGACAAGAGACAUCUUGGUCCAGAGCACAUCCAUGACUUCUGCCAGACCCGGCCAGCGUUCGUCGUUGUUGCCCAGCAGCAGCACCUGAUGGAGCUGAUCACUCCCUGUUCUUCGAACCUUGCAGGAUGUCCCCAGGUACUCUUGGGUUCACUCCCACCCUUCUGCCGGCUCCACCUCUUCCUUCCAACCUCUGAGUGUCCCCAGCCCAAAGCUCAGUGCUUAGGCUCCCUCUCCCUCCAUGCCUACUGUCAGCUUCCUGGGUUAGCUCAGCCAGGCUCAGGGCUUUAAACGCCAUCUGCUGACUCACACUUGUAUAUUUCUAACUGAGAAUACAUUCUGAAGUCCACACCUCUGUGUCCCCCUGCCUACUGACAUCUCCAAUCAUAAAUCCUGCAGGCCCUAACAGUGGCUGGCCCUGCACACCUCUUGGCCCAGGCCCAUGUUCCUUGGCCCAUCCCUUCCAAUGCUCAGGCCCCUUAACAUUUGCCCAGUGGCUUCUCUCCUGAAUCCCUCAAAUCUCAGCAUCUACAAAGAGUAUCACUUGUGGUGGCCCUGGGGCCUGUUCUGGGGAAGGACUGUGAACAAUCCAAGAGAUGGGCUCCAUGUCCCUUCUGUCCCCUCUGCUUUGUCAUUGGCUGUACUCUCAGGGCCAAGCAACUGGAGGUCUGUGGGGAUAGC